CAGAUCCCUAUGGGAUGCACCAGUGGGGAAUUUUCCGCAAUGGGCGAAAGCCUGACGGAGCAAUACCGCGUGAGGGAGGAAGGCUUUUGGGUUGUAAACCUCUUUUCUCAGGGAAGAACCAAUGACGGUACCUGAGGAAUCAGCAUCGGCUAACUCCGUGCCAGCAGCCGCGGUAAUACGGAGGAUGCAAGCGUUAUCCGGAAUGAUUGGGCGUAAAGCGUCUGUAGGUGGCUUUUUAAGUCCGCCGUCAAAUCCCAGGGCUCAACCCUGGACAGGCGGUGGAAACUACCAAGCUGGAGUACGGUAGGGGCAGAGGGAAUUCCUGGUGUAGCGGUGAAAUGCGUAGAGAUCAGGAAGAACACCGGUGGCGAAGGCGCUCUGCUAGGCCGUAACUGACACUGAGGGACGAAAGCUAGGGGAGCGAAUGGGAUUAGAUACCCACGUAGUCCUAGUUG
This 455-nucleotide ribosomal RNA is filed under the name Vibrio parahaemolyticus. RNAcentral describes it as "bacterial SSU rRNA". It matches the Rfam family "Bacterial small subunit ribosomal RNA", at positions 332 to 802 of the family's 1533-position model. Lineage: Bacteria; Pseudomonadati; Pseudomonadota; Gammaproteobacteria; Vibrionales; Vibrionaceae. The record is from RNAcentral.